AUUGAACGCUGGCGGCAGGCCUAACACAUGCACGUCGAACGAGUGGCGGACGGGUGAGAAGUGUCUGGGACACUGCCUGAUGGAGGGGGAUAACUACUGGACACUGUAGCUAAUACCGCAUACACUCAGAUGUGCCCAGAUGGGUUUAGCUUGUUGGUGGGGCAACGGCUCACCAAGGAGACGACCCCUAGCUGGUCUGAGAGGAUGACCGGCCACCCUGGAACUGAGACACGGUCCAGACUCCUCCGGGAGGCAGCAGUGGGGAAUAUUGCACAAUGGGCGCAAGCCUGAUGCAGCCAUGCCGGGUGUAUGAAGAAGGCCUUGGGGUUGUAAAGUACUUUCAGCGGGGAGGCGUUACCCGCAGAAGAAGCACCGGCUAACUCCGUGCCAGCAGCCGCGGUAAUUC
RNAcentral lists this ribosomal RNA (406 nucleotides) under uncultured bacterium. Its description in RNAcentral is "partial 16S ribosomal RNA". It matches the Rfam family "Bacterial small subunit ribosomal RNA", at positions 30 to 526 of the family's 1533-position model. The record is from RNAcentral.